GAGAGGAAGAAAGUCUCAAAAUCUAAUUCAAGGGUUAGUUUAGCCAUAACACUUAGAAAGCUAAACAAGGACAAAACACUCUGUUAUAAUCGAGUAUAUAAGUUACAUAAACGAUUAAAAUAGAGAGAAAGCCAUAAUAUGUUAUAUAAGUACCAAAAUUUGUUAAGGAUGGCUAGUGGAUGACUAAUAUGGCCAAGUGCCAAUAUAAUCGAUUACACAAGUUUGAUAAUCGAUU
Molecule: long non-coding RNA, 235 nt
Filed under: Vigna radiata
Lineage: Eukaryota; Viridiplantae; Streptophyta; Magnoliopsida; Fabales; Fabaceae
Description: long non-coding RNA (VRAD_LNC001960)
Source: RNAcentral